ACGAGGAGGAUUAACCACGCAAAUUACCCACUUUAAGCUAGGAUGCACAAACCCCUACCCGUUUUACCCAAAUAGCACCGUCUCAUUAUACAUAAAACACUAAGCCAUCUUGUUUGCCAAACUUAUUUGCGCCAGAUUUGAUAAAGUCUAAAAAGGUUUUCAUUCUUCACUGCUCUUGUGCUGAUCAGUUCUUCCCCACCAUUGAUUCAUCACCAUAAUCGGCAGAUGACAUCAAAUUCGACUUUAUUUGGAGUCGUAUCCUCCUAACCCUCAUCUAACUUCGAUUUCAACGAAGCAGACAAGGAUUCAAAGGCCAUUAAAAGGUAAGUCCCCUUUCUUUUUUUAUUUUUUUUAUUUUAAAAUCAGUUUGUAAAAAACGAAAAAGCAAAAAAAAUCACAAAUAUGAAACGAAAAUCCCAGGGAAAAGAAUUGAAAAAACAACCUCUUAAAUCUUGGAUCCGGUUUCUUUUCGAUUGCUAUGGAUUUUUGUGUAUGUUCUCUGCUAUUAGAUUCAAAAAAACAAAAAAACCCUCCCAUUUACACUCGGUUUGAUUCGGUUUUAUAGUCGAAUGGAAAAAAACAAAAAAGAACUUCUUUGCUGCUCUUUUUGCGCUUGUUUGCAGGUGCGUGGUGGACGUGGGCUCUGACAUGGAGGCGCGAGUGGCGCGGCGCACGGAGCGAAAGGCAGCGCGACGUACGGCGCUUGGGGUUGGCUUGCGACGCUAGGGUUGCUGAAAUCGUUUUAGAUUUGAGGGCCAAUUGGGCCAUGUUGUAAAUGGGUAUUAGAAUUGGGUUUGUAUUAGGCUUGUAUUGGGCUUUAUUUUAGUUUUUAUGUUGGGUAUGUAAUUUGGACUUUGUUUUUUUUAUUUGGUCUGCUUUUGUUUUGGUUUUGGUAUUGUUCUGGGCCCUGGGCGAAAUGGGCCGUCUACAGCUUCCCCUCUUUGCUCAUUGUCGUGUAACGAGAAUUGAGCAAAGACCUUAAAAGAGUCAUUUUGCCCGUUCUUGUCAUAUCUUGACCUCUUUAUGCUCAUCUUCUUCAAGUAGCCCCACUCUACCUCACUGCAUCUUCAGGGAUAUAGGAAUUGUGCUUUCAAUCCACUCCACGUCCUUAACCUGCUCCAUUGCGACUUCUGGAAUAUAAAAUUUGCAAUUUUCAGCCUAUCACCCUACUGCUUAGGAGGUUAAGGCUCGUAUCUUCAAACUGCUCUCUUGCUACCUCAGAGAGAUAAGGCCGGUGGCUAAAAUCUACUCCAUAGCCGAGACAUGGAGAUAAGACUCUCCAUUUUUGAUCUGCUCCAUAGCCGAUACAUGGAGAUAAGAUUUGUAAUUUACAGCCUGUAACCCUACUAUUUAGGGGGUUAAGGCUCGUAUCUUUAACCUGCUCUCUUGUUACCUUAGAGAGAUAAGGCUGGUGGCUAAAAUCUGCUCCAUAGCUGAUACAUUGAUAUAAGACUCGCCAUUUUUUAUUUGCUCCAUAGCUGAUACAUGGUGAUAAAUUCUGUAAUUUGCAGCCUGUUACCCUACUGCUUAGGGGGUUAAGGCUCGCUGUCUUCGAUCUGCUCCAUUACUGUUUAGGGAAAAUCUGUAUUUUUCAGCCUGUUACCCUACUACUUAGGGGGUUAAGGCUUGCGAAUUCACCGAUGCCACUGUACUGUUCUCUGAGGAACAUGAUCUGUAAAAUCGGUUUCCUGUAUCUAUACUUAUGCCAAAUAAUUAGGAUGCUAUGAUUGCAAUGAAUCAAAUGCUCUUAACUAGAUGUAAUGCGUAUGUCAAAUAAUUAGGAUGUUAUGAUUGAAAUGAAUCAAAUGCCCCUAACUAGAUGUAUCAUGAAUGACAUUUGUAUGAAUGCAGAUUGUCGUGAGAAUUUCCUUUUUAACGUUUAGGCUAUUAUUGCUCGCUGUUUGUCAUUGAUGUAUUUCUUCUCGUUCAACUAAUAUCUUUAACAGACAUCUGAAGCAAUAGUCUUAACUUAAACUUUUUACUUCUCAAGUAACUCUAACCCUCAAG
This 2007-nucleotide long non-coding RNA is filed under the name Gossypium barbadense (sea-island cotton). RNAcentral's name for it is "long non-coding RNA (GBAR_LNC006709)". Lineage: Eukaryota; Viridiplantae; Streptophyta; Magnoliopsida; Malvales; Malvaceae. The record is from RNAcentral.